CCGGCGCACGGGUGAGUAACGCGUAUGCAACUUACCUAUCAGGAGGGGAUACCGCAAAGUCGGACUAAUACCGCAUGAAGCAGGGAUCCCGCAUGGGAAUAUUUGCUAAAGAUUCAUCGCUGAUAGAUAGGCAUGCGUUCCAUUAGGCAGUUGGCGGGUAACGCCCACCAAACCGACGAUGGAUAGGGUUCUGAGAGGAAGGUCCCCCACAUUGGUACUGAGACACGGACCAA
RNAcentral lists this ribosomal RNA (233 nucleotides) under uncultured bacterium. RNAcentral's name for it is "partial 16S ribosomal RNA". It matches the Rfam family "Bacterial small subunit ribosomal RNA", at positions 95 to 334 of the family's 1533-position model. The record is from RNAcentral.